GGCGGCUCGAGUGGUGGCCACUAUUACUGGGCUUAAAGCGUUCGUAGCUGGUUUGUUAAGUCUCUGGGGAAAUCUGCCGGCUCAACCGGCAGGCGUUCCAGGGAUACUGGCAGACUAGGGACCGGGAGAGGUGAGGGGUACUCCAGGGGUAGGAGUGAAAUCCUGUAAUCCUUGGGGGACCACCUGUGGCGAAGGCGCCUCACCAGAACGGCUCCGACAGUGAGGGACGAAAGCUGGGGGAGCAAACCG
RNAcentral lists this ribosomal RNA (249 nucleotides) under uncultured euryarchaeote. Its description in RNAcentral is "partial 16S ribosomal RNA". It matches the Rfam family "Archaeal small subunit ribosomal RNA", at positions 478 to 726 of the family's 1478-position model. The record is from RNAcentral. Lineage: Archaea; Methanobacteriati; Methanobacteriota.